RNAcentral lists this non-coding RNA (965 nucleotides) under Drosophila virilis. RNAcentral describes it as "Eukaryotic large subunit ribosomal RNA". It matches the Rfam family "Eukaryotic large subunit ribosomal RNA", at positions 1553 to 2402 of the family's 3401-position model. Lineage: Eukaryota; Metazoa; Arthropoda; Insecta; Diptera; Drosophilidae. The record is from Rfam by way of RNAcentral.
CCGAAAAUUUUCAAGUAAAGAAAAAUCUAAAUAUAUUUGUCAUCUAACCGAUUUUUAUACACUUGAAUAAUUUUGAACGAAAGGGAAUACGGUUCCAAUUCCGUAACCUGUUGAGUAUCCGUUUGUUAUUAAAUAUGGGCCUCGUGCUCAUCCUGGCAACAGGAACGACCAUAAAGAAGCCGUCGAGAGGUAUCGGAAGAGUUUUCUUUUCUGUUUUAUAGCCGUACUACCAUGGAAGUCUUUCGCAGAGAGAUAUGGUAGAUGGGCUAGAAGAGCAUGACAUAUACUGUUGUGUCGAUAUUUUCUCCUCGGACCUUGAAAAUUUAUGGUGGGGACACGCAAACUUCUCAACAGGCCGUACCAAUAUCCGCAGCUGGUCUCCAAGGUGAAGAGUCUCUAGUCGAUAGAAUAAUGUAGGUAAGGGAAGUCGGCAAAUUAGAUCCGUAACUUCGGGAUAAGGAUUGGCUCUGAAGAUUGAGAUAGUCGGGCUUGAUUGGGAAACAAUAACAUGGUUUAUGUGCUCGUUCUGGGUAAAUAAAGUUUCUAUCAUUUAUGGUAGUUUCUUGUUCCCCGGAUAGUUUAGUUACGUAGCCAAUUGUGGAACUUUCUUGCUAAAAUUUUUAAGAAUACUAGUUGGGCUACCAAUUAGUUCUUUUAUAUUAUAACGAUUAUCAAUUAACAAUCAAUUCAGAACUGGCACGGACUUGGGGAAUCCGACUGUCUAGUUAAAACAAAGCAUUGUGAAGGCCCUAGCGGGUGUUGACACAGUGUGAUUUCUGCCCAGUGCUCUUAAUGUUGAAUGAAAAAAUUCAAGUAAGCGCCGGUCCACGGCCGGAAUAACUAUGACUCUCUCUAACGUAGCCAAAUGCCUCCUCAUCCAAUUAAUGACGCGCAUGAAAUGGGAUAACCAGAUUUCCACUGUCCCUAACCACCUGGCUCUCGCUGGCGAGACAUGGGAGGCCAGU